AUCUUUCCCGCUUAAUGCUGUAAAAAGAUUUGCACGACGAUUUAUUUGCUGGCCACAGGAUUCGAUGGAUAAACAGUUCAUUGCCGACAUAUGGCUUCGUCAAUUUGUGACUAACAGCCCUUCAUCGAUUCCAAAAUUUUGCUGUACAAGAUUUCGACUUCAUCUUUAGAUGUGAUGUUUGCGGUCUUCCGGAGGGGUACGGAAAUCGGUGCAAUAAGGUUUGGCUCAUCUUUCUGCGAUUCUGUUUAGGCAUGAUGCGGGAAGCAAGCCUAAGCGCGGAAAAACUGUUGAUGAUGGGAAGAAUCAUGCGAGCCUUCAGACUAUAAAAUAUCUGCGCGGUGGUUAGUUGCUCAUACCUAAGACCACACUGCAGUGUAGUAGUUCGGUUGUGGGAAGCUGAACGGGUGCAACAGGUGCCUACCUCAUGUGAUUGCACGUGAUACCUCUGUGUGUUCUGUGCGAGGUAGCCAUCUCAUGCUUUUGCGCAGUUGAAGUAAUGUCUUUUGUAACAUAAGUAUAUGAUUAUAAAAACUAUAUCUCACCAGACUUGACAUAAGAUCUUCUGCUAUGUCU
This 573-nucleotide long non-coding RNA is filed under the name Volvox carteri. RNAcentral's name for it is "long non-coding RNA (VCAR_LNC001607)". Lineage: Eukaryota; Viridiplantae; Chlorophyta; Chlorophyceae; Chlamydomonadales; Volvocaceae. The record is from RNAcentral.